GGGCCGUACGCGCCGGUGCGCGGCGCCGCCUGGCGGGCGGCGUACGCGGGGUUCGACACCCCGACGGUCCAC
Molecule: transfer RNA, 72 nt
Filed under: Actinocatenispora rupis
Lineage: Bacteria; Bacillati; Actinomycetota; Actinomycetes; Micromonosporales; Micromonosporaceae
Description: tRNA-Ala
Source: RNAcentral